This 978-nucleotide unclassified non-coding RNA is filed under the name Hevea brasiliensis (rubber tree). Lineage: Eukaryota; Viridiplantae; Streptophyta; Magnoliopsida; Malpighiales; Euphorbiaceae. The record is from RNAcentral.
ACAAAAGAGCUUACUUCCAAGGUAUUGGCAUUUGUUUCUCCACAUGGUCAUUUGCGUUGAGUUUAGCUUCAUGUACAUUAGGAUACUUUUUAGCCUGUUUUGAAAUUUUAUGCUCUAUGCUUUACAUAUUGCGUAGUUGCUUUACUUAUUGGAUUAUUUUAGUAACUAUGAGAUGGACGAAACCUUGAACUUUAUGAUUCUUCAAAUUACAGUUAUCUCAGUUGACCUUUCUGUUGUUUCAUUGUUGAUCCCAUUUGAUUCAGCUACCUAUAUGCCUAAUCUCCACUAGGUUUUGUGUUAGUUUAGUAAUAGGAUAUUUCUGAUGUUGCUGCAUGUGUUAGGUUACAUUUGUUUAGGAAAUUGUCAUGAAUGUUGACUUUUAGGAAACCUUUUACAAGUUACUUUGUUGGAAGAGUAAGCAAUGUGGCCUGGAGAAGGGCUGGCGUACUGGCAUUUGAAAAAGGAGCCUUAAUAGCUUGUUGUGUUACCACAGAAGCAUUAGUCUGAACUUUGCUGUGAUUAAUUUCAUGUUAAAUUAUUUUCCCUACAAUCUAAAGAUUGCCCAAUUAUUCUGCAAUUGAUCCAACUUUUGCUGGCUAUUAAUGUCCAUUCUAAGUUAUCUGCUUACUCAUGAUUGUCCUUUGCGCUAAGUGGAUGGCAACAACCCAUGCUUCAAGAGUCAAGACUGAGGAUAAGUUGUGGAACCUUUGGUGAUAGGAAGUGUAAGGGAGAUCACCAAGGAUCAUAGACAGCAAUAAUAGUUUGAUUGCCCAAUGGUUGAGAAUCUGGUAGUAUUUCUUGUUGCAAGGAAGGUGAGGGAUGGGGUGUUUUGUGAAGUAAGACAUUAUUAAUUAUGAAAAUACAUUUUCAUUUGAGGAAGUUAGCUGAAAUUGCAAUGUUUGACGUGACUAGGCCAUUAAAUUGAAGUGCGUGUGUGCUAUUUGAUGCAGGACGGCCUGCAGGUCUAAGAGUUAAGGC